GACUAGAUAGCUCAGUGGUUAGAGCAUCUGGAAUAUAUCCAAGGGGUCCUGGGUUCAAACCCAAGUCUGGUCA
Non-coding RNA from Lactifluus volemus, 73 nucleotides. Lineage: Eukaryota; Fungi; Basidiomycota; Agaricomycetes; Russulales; Russulaceae. The record is from the annotation of a GenBank genome assembly.